GAUGAACGCUGGCGGCGUGCCUAAUACAUGCAAGUCGAGCGAACAGACGAGGAGCUUGCUCCUCUGACGUUAGCGGCGGACGGGUGAGUAACACGUGGAUAACCUACCUAUAAGACUGGGAUAACUUCGGGAAACCGGAGCUAAUACCGGAUAAUAUAGUGAACCGCAUGGUUCAAUAGUGAAAGACGGUUUUGCUGUCACUUAUAGAUGGAUCCGCUCCGCAUUAGCUAGUUGGUAAGGUAACGGCUUACCAAGGCAACGAUGCGUAGCCGACCUGAGAGGGUGGUCGGCCACACUGGAACGGAGACACGGUCAAGACUCCUACGGGAGGCAGCAGUAGGGAAUCUUCCGCAAUGGGCGAAAGCCUGACGGAGCAACGCCGCGUGAGUGAUGAAGGUCUUCGGAUCGUAAAACUCUGUUAUUAGGGAAGAACAAAUGUGUAAGUAACUAUGCACGUCUUGACGGUACCUAAUCAGAAAGCCACGGCUAACUACGUG
RNAcentral lists this ribosomal RNA (497 nucleotides) under uncultured bacterium. RNAcentral's name for it is "partial 16S ribosomal RNA". It matches the Rfam family "Bacterial small subunit ribosomal RNA", at positions 28 to 507 of the family's 1533-position model. The record is from RNAcentral.